UAAGGCUGCCUUAUGGUAGCACACACCUGGUCACAAGACAGACUUGACAGAAUAUGGAGGACAUCAGUCACCUUGAUGCUUACCUCUCUUGUGCUUUACCCUCAGGCGGGCUAUGUUUCGAGCAUGCUGGCUCCUGUUGGCAUUGGCAUUGCUGGGGCACUCUUCAUCCUUGGAGCCCUUUACAGCAUCAAGGUGAUUCACCGCAAGAGGAAGAGCAGCUUCAAGAGACAGCGUCGAAAGCACAGGGAAAUGAGCACCAGACAGGACAGAGUGAUGCUACUGGCUGACAGUUCGGAAGAUGAGUUCUAAUUCUGCCAGCAUCCCCACUUCUCUAGCAAUAAAUCCUUCCAACAUCUUUUGGAGCUUUCGGCACCUUCACUGCAUCUGGAGCUCAACCGUGUGUCUUACAUUACCUCAGAUAUUGCUCCAUCUAUUUGGACCAGCCUUUGUGGGGAUUGGGAUGGGGAUUGGAGAAGAGGAGUGGGUGAAAAAAAAAGAGGAACAAGACUUGGAUCUGCAAAAUGAGCCCAACAAAAAUAAGAUGGGGAUGUCUUAAAUAAGAGACAGUGAAUAGAUAAGGAACUCAAAGAGGCCGUUCAUUCCAUCCGACUAAUUUAAGAGAUUCAUCACUCAGCUGCUUUGGUAGAGGUUGAAGAUGGAGCUCACAUGAAGUUCAGUUUCUGCCAGAGGCUCUAUAUUAGUCAUGAUAUGAUGAGCCACCAUUAUUUGGUAAACUCUAGUAUUCAGCGUUCGAUGAAAUAAUUUGAAGUGGGACACUGAUUCACACAAGACACAGACAUGGACACAAAUUAGUACAGUCAGACAAUUUCUGGAUAUUGAGGACAACAACAGAAAGAUUCAUCAUGGAAGAGGAAAACAGUGAAACCUUCCUCAUUCACAAGGACAUCAUAGCAACGUCUGAGAAAUCUGAUGUCCUGGUUUUAGUAGACGAUGAAUAGGAUCAUAAAGAAAAGUCUUGAUCAUUAAAGACAGAGAAACAAAAUGAAGGUUUGACCAACAUCUUGUUAUGCAAGCUAAUUUACAACCUCUGAAACACCGCAGGUUCUGGAAUCGGACAAGUGACUUCUUUAUUUUUUAAGGCAACGUCAUUUCAAGAACUAAAGAGACACUGCUGUCUGCUAGCUUCAAAUCAAACCUCUCUUAGUUUCAGAAGAUAAACCUACAACAGAAAAAUCUUCAGACUAACAUGAUGGAUUGUAAAAAAAAUGACCUAUUCUGGCAGAGAUGUCCAUUGUCUUCAGGUGAAUGCCUUAUCCAGUGUUCUUCCAAAUGAGCAACUGCAGCAGACAUCAUUAAGGGCUCAGCCUCUUUGGCUGGGGUGUUUCCUGAUUCCUAGGUAGCCAACUAGUUUAUGGCUCUUCAAAAGCCCAUCCUGUUUUAUUUGAAGAGUUGUACCAUUGUAAUAAUAACCUUGGCUUGAUUUCUCAGGGUAAUGAUCCCACAGUUUUCAUGCGGUCCACCUUUUUGUCAAAUUUUAAGCUGCAAGCAUGUUCAGCAAGUCCAGUUUCAUCACAUCCUUCCUUGGUGUUGUGGCCACUUUGAUGUCCUUCAGAUCCUCACUGCUCUGCUCUGCAUUCCAGGCUGAUGGAGUGUUUCUACUCUUUUACCCGCUCAUUUUUAUUAAUGUCCAUCCAUUUUUAAACCGCCUCUACAGCAUUUACAGUACAUCUCAGUAUGACUAUAUGUAGCUGUCAGGAUGUUCUGGCUUAAAACACAAACGUUUUCUUACAGAGACAGAUUAGAGUCUACUUUAAGAAAACCAAGGCAUGUCCAAGUUCCAACUCCAGUUUCUUCCAGGUCUAUAAAUGCCCUGCAAAGUCGACCUUAUCAAGGCAGACACAGGGACCCGCACAGAGUGGAUUUUGACGUUUUGGCUCAAAGAGCAGCAAUCCAUUCUCCUUGAAUAGUUUCCAGAAGGGAUAAAUGUCUUGACUAACCACAUCAUUAAUAGCAAGCAGCACUCCGUGGUUAGACUGGUCAGCGAACUGUCAAAAUCUGUAGUUGUCUCCUAGUUUCUUAACCUCCAUGCUUAAUGUAAAUGAAUAUGCUGAAGUUGUAGUGAUGAUUAUGAUGAAAACACUUUCUUGUUUUGGCUAGUUUUAAUACUCCAGUUUUUAUUAUCCACUUUAUCAAUAAUGCAUUUUGCUUGUGUGCUUCAGAAUUUUCUAUUAAAGUCAUAAACCCCAGACUUAUUAUUCACCCCUGUCAACAGGCAGAGUGAUUUGCUUUGAGUUUUUUAGAUGCUAAGUCUCUUAUUAUAUUGUCUUUCCAAUUAAUACUGUGCUUUAUUCUGUCUACUAUACUUGGGUAUCCAUUUCUGCCACAGAUAGGCUGGAUUAAGACCCCCACAGGCCCGUAGGUGACUUAGCUCCUUAACAGAGCAUUGAUCGUAGAAUGCAGAAACUCAGUCAUUAAGCGCAGUGUGUUAUUUCUCACUCACUUCACCAUCUGGUUGGGGGGGGGUCCCUCUUGAUCAUAUCAGAUACUUGCUUGCUUAGUGGGGGGAGUAGGGGGAGUCUUUUGGUCUCAUAUGGUAAUUUCAGCUCGUAGGAUACUCUAACAAUUCCUCAAGCUUGAGGGCUCUUAUUGAAAUGGCUCCGUACUGUCUCAGGCCCCUUAGUGCACACCCUAAAUGCCAUGAUCGUAGAUCCACACCUGUAAUACAGGUAUCCCUUUUCUUCCUGCUCAGUUUCCCACCUCAACAUGGUAAGUGUUUAUCGAGGCAUAGCAUUAGAGCAGCUGACACACACUUCGUUACCCUCCCAUGGUCCAUACUGAUGCUGUUAGGGUAACAGACGACUGAUUGAGUGUUAGUACCUAUAUGUGUGCAUCAUGUCACAGCCUGGUGUCCUUUUUGCCGCUGGUUGCUGCUUUACACUUGCAGGGGUUGGAAUAAGUUUUGCUUCCCUACAACCUUAUAUUGAAUAACUAGAUUAAAAAAUGGAUAGAUGAACAGGAAUGGUUAAUUGUUGCUAAAGGACAUAGAUCUUAUUAACACAGAAACAAAGUACUCUAUUCAUAAUGUGCCUCCAGGUUUGAAAAUGUCCUCAUUUUUGGAGUGCCACAGCUUUUCCUUCAUGGCAUCAGGCUAUAAACUAAGGCCUACUCUGCAUGCAUGGCCGUGCCCCACAGGAUGCCCCUCAUUUCCUGGGCUGUGGGUCAAUGCUUGUUGUCCUCCAUAGUCCUUAAACACUAAACCCAAAGAAAAACCAGUGGGUGUGGUGACUCACCAGGAUGGAUGUUGUGUGCUGCCAGUUUAGCAGUCGGGUGCCAUUAGAGAAGCCCAAGCUUCUACUUGAGUUCAGUGUCCCCUGUCCCUGCAUAGCUUGCUUGACAUAGUGGAAGUUUCUGUUCAAUUUGGAUUAGUUAUUUUUUUAUGAGAAAACCACAAUAAAAUAACUUGGCUCUCUUUUACAUUCUGUAAGAGGAAUACAAUCUCUAACUGUUUUGAGAAAAUGCGUAAAACUGACUUGUUUUUAUUUGAUUGUGUGCACUCGCUCUGGUCCCUAUAUAUACUGAAAUAAAUGAUAACACGUUAA
Molecule: long non-coding RNA, 3560 nt
Organism: Erpetoichthys calabaricus (reedfish)
Lineage: Eukaryota; Metazoa; Chordata; Cladistia; Polypteriformes; Polypteridae
Exons: 2
Source: RefSeq, a predicted model, not a curated record